AUUGAACGCUAGCGGGAUGCUUUACACAUGCAAGUCGAACGGCAGCGCGGACUUCGGUCUGGCGGCGAGUGGCGAACGGGUGAGUAAUAUAUCGGAACGUACCCAGUAGCGGGGGAUAACUACUCGAAAGAGUGGCUAAUACCGCAUACGUCCUACGGGAGAAAGCAGGGGGACCUUCGGGCCUUGCACUAUUGGAGCGGCCGAUAUCGGAUUAGCUAGUUGGUGGGGUAAAGGGCCGUACCAAGGCGACG
RNAcentral lists this ribosomal RNA (251 nucleotides) under uncultured bacterium. RNAcentral describes it as "partial 16S ribosomal RNA". It matches the Rfam family "Bacterial small subunit ribosomal RNA", at positions 30 to 278 of the family's 1533-position model. The record is from RNAcentral.